AUUUCAGAGGAUUUGGGGAGUGCGCUUGGCCACUACCCUCAUUUUGCAAGUAUGUGACUUCUUUCUUACACAGUGGCCCUGCCAGGAUGGCUCCAUCAGAAAGUCCCCUCCGUUUGAUCCGUAGACCUUGCGUUGACAGGUGCAGGCUACUAGGACGGGCACAGGCUGGGCUAGGCUCCCUGCUGCAUCUCCUACACAGUUCCCAGGGAGAACGAGCGCUUGUCUCUGGAGAAGGCUUCCAAGGAUGGAUGGGUGUUGCAUUCUCAGUUCCAAGUCUCCGGUAACAAAAGUGGAAGAGAACAAACUAGAUUGAGGAGGCAAGUUCCCAGCACAGAGAUCUCUGGAUUUACAUAAAUAUAAAGAUGAAUUUGUAUGUCUGUGAAGGAGUUCAGGAAAUGCCACCUCCAAAUCUGAUGCCUUGGUAUUUCUGAUUACUUUGAACUGAAGGCACUUGGGGAACAGAAGAUUUGGGCUUUCUCUGAGCUCCCUUGAUGCGCCUAAAGACUGAUCCUCCAAAAGGAACUCAACUGUCAUAAAUCUUCUCCCUGGGAAUCUUAGCAACCAGUGAAGAUUAUCUUGGACCACAGGAGAUAAGAUUGGAGUUUGGUGCCACACCCAGACUCUCACCUAUUCUUCUGAGGGCUGCUCUGAGACAACUUUUACCAUCUGAGAGAUCGCUUAGCUGCACGAAAACACAAGCUUUAUUCAACACGUAUUUCUUCCCUUCACCCUCCCAUGGCUUUUCUCCACCAACCCUUAGAAACCCCAAAACCCUAUUCCUUUCUAUAGCUCAGGAUAUUAUAUAAGCUUCAAUCAUCUGGCCCUUCUUCAAGUCACAUAUGUCUGUGGGACUCUGUGCAUCAUAUGUAAUUGAAUAUAGUUUUUGUCUUGUUAAUCUGUCUUAUGUCAAUUUAAUUAGCAGCCCAGCCAAGGAACAUAGAGGGGUGAAGGGAGCCAUUUUCACUCUCCUACAUCUGGAAAUCACACCCUACCAGAUUUCUCAACCUUGUCUUUUUUAUGGAAGGCUCAGCACUUAGGGACUCUUAGAAAUGGAAGCAAUCCGAAAUGAUUAUUGACGUGAAAGGGUGGUCCAUGAACAGCAGCAUCCACACUGCCUGCAAGCCCAUUGGUAAUGCAGAAUCUCAGCUUCACUGCAGACCUAUUGAAUCAGAAUCUGCCUUUCAACCAGAUCUCCAAAUAAUUCAAGAGCAUAAUCAAGAAUGAGAAGUGCUCUUGUCCUUCAGCUCUGACCGAUCCCUUUCACUUCCCCUGAAAGACAGCCAACUCUCCAAAACUUUCCUUCUCAUCAGCUGUCACAGAGCUUUCUGAAGCAGUGUGUAUUGUCAGCCCUCUCUUCUCCAAGCAAAGCAAUUAACACACUCAACAAAUGUGUGUGGGGUGCUCACUGUGUGUUAUGUGUCCAUGGGGAGGAGAGAUACAUGUGUGAGGACCCCUGCACAGUGGCCCAUUCUCUCCGUUCUCCUGACUUCAGGUGUUUCAGCCAGUUCUUGGAAUGACAUGGCUUCCAGACCCCUUUGUCAUUGUCCUUCAGCUCAUCCAUGUUGUCAAAAAUAAUUCUUUAAUAUUAUUUCAUUCAAAAACAUAUUUAACUGAAUAAUUUUGAAUGGAUAUUUGAAUAAGUCCCCCUUAAAGUCUGGCACUCAAACAGGACCCUAUAUUUCCAAAGUUGCCUGAAAAAAUGAGUAAUUGAGGGAACUUUUACUUUUGUGGUCUGGAUAGAAUCACCUGGGUGUCUCAAGUGUGAACGCCAUCUCUAUCUCCAACUAACUAUCUAUGGUGAGUGGGGUGGCCAUCUUCAUCAUGAAAUGAGGCCCUUGGAGUGCAUCACUAAGGUCCCUUGUGUUCCACAUUUUAUUCCUGAUGCUGAAAGGAAGGAACAAGAAAUGCUGCCACAUUGCACUCCUCGGCCCCUCUGUCCUUCCUUUCCACCAGUUACCAAGCCCCCCAUGUCAGGGACAUCCCUCGGCCCUGGAGAUUCAGCAGUGACAUGAGCAAGGAUGCAGAUUCCAUUCUAAAAAGAAAAGACUGAAAACAGAGGAACCCAUAAGCGAGCAUCUUGACCUGCAGCAUUCUGGCCCACUCAGAUGGAAACCACCUUUGCAAGAAUUAUAACAGUAAGAAAAUUAUGGCAGUAAAAGAGAUAUGAUCUAACUCACCCUCCAUCUUGCCUUUCCCUUAAUUAUUGCUGGGCUUUUGGGCUAGCUAACUUUGGAAGACAUUUAGGUUAUAGUUUAAAUGAUAAUAGCCCUUCCCCCAAACUUGACUCCCUCUAUAAAGCUAAUGAAAGGCCAUGGGGCUAUGGGGGUGGAAAGGAGCCUGAUUCUGCUAAGGUGCAGACAUAGAUUGCCAGCCAUUCCUGCAGAUAACACCACUAUUGUAGAUUGGCCUUUUGAGAUAGCUUGUCAGAUUUUUUGAAUGUCUGACACCUAUGGCUCCAAGCCGACCCACCGAUCCCACUCCUGUGACCCCACCCAGAAGCAAUUCAGCAUGCAGGAGGACAGCUUCUAUCCCCCCAACCCCACACUUCAGCUAUAACAGGAAAUAUCCUCUCCAUAGAGCAUACAGUAAGUGAAUGACUUUGUAACUUUACUUCAUCCUCUUCAUUUACAUAGGGCAUACCCCAAGUCGAGGGUAUCUAAACUCUCAAACAUUCUGUAACAGAGCCUUUGAGCCCCUAUGCUCAGACCCGCUCCCACACUGUGGAGUGUACUUUCAUUGUCAAUAAAUCCCUUCAUUCCUUCUUUGCUUUGUUUGUACGUUUUGUCCAAUUCAGUAUGCCAAGAACCUGGACACCCUCCACCAGUAACAGAGGGAAGGGUUUGCUUCUUCUCUUGCUGUGGCCCUACCCAUUGUGCUUUCUCAUCUCUGUUUUGCAAGCAGCCUUCUUAAGAA
Molecule: long non-coding RNA, 2913 nt
Filed under: Homo sapiens (human)
Lineage: Eukaryota; Metazoa; Chordata; Mammalia; Primates; Hominidae
Description: novel transcript
Source: RNAcentral